Sapajus apella (tufted capuchin) is the source of this 136-nucleotide long non-coding RNA. RefSeq lists it as uncharacterized. The transcript has 3 exons. The record is from RefSeq and is a predicted model, not a curated record. Lineage: Eukaryota; Metazoa; Chordata; Mammalia; Primates; Cebidae.
GGUUGGGGGUGGAUGUUUUUGGAUAAAACUGUUUUUAUCCACCUCACAUCAUCAGGCAUUAGCUGGAUUCUCAUAAGUAGCGCACAACCUGGAUCCCUCACAUGUGCAGUUUACAAUAGGGUUCGUUUUCUGUGAG